AGUGAACGCUGGCGGUAGGCCUAACACAUGCAAGUCGAACGGCAGCACAGUAAGAGCUUGCUCUUACGGGUGGCGAGUGGCGGACGGGUGAGGAAUACAUCGGAAUCUACUUUUUCGUGGGGGAUAACGUAGGGAAACUUACGCUAAUACCGCAUACGACCUACGGGUGAAAGCAGGGGAUCUUCGGACCUUGCGCGAUUGAAUGAGCCGAUGUCGGAUUAGCUAGUUGGCGGGGUAAAGGCCCACCAAGGCGACGAUCCGUAGCUGGUCUGAGAGGAUGCUCACCCACACUGGAACUGAGACCCGGUCCAGCCUCCUACGGGAGGCAGCAGUGGGGAAUAUUGGACAAUGGGCGCAAGCCUGAUCCAGCCCUCCCGCGUGGGUGAAGAAGGCCUUCGGGUUGUAAAGCCCUUUUGUUGGGAAAGAAAAGCAGCAGGUUAAUACCCCGCUGUUCUGACGGUACCCAAAGAAUAAGCACCGGCUAACUUCGUG
This 492-nucleotide ribosomal RNA is filed under the name uncultured bacterium. RNAcentral's name for it is "partial 16S ribosomal RNA". It matches the Rfam family "Bacterial small subunit ribosomal RNA", at positions 29 to 507 of the family's 1533-position model. The record is from RNAcentral.